This 466-nucleotide ribosomal RNA is filed under the name uncultured bacterium. RNAcentral's name for it is "partial 16S ribosomal RNA". It matches the Rfam family "Bacterial small subunit ribosomal RNA", at positions 28 to 507 of the family's 1533-position model. The record is from RNAcentral.
GAUGAACGCUGGCGGCGUGCUUAACACAUGCAAGUCGAACGAUGAAGCCCAGCUUGCUGGGUGGAUUAGUGGCGAACGGGUGAGUAACACGUGAGUAACCUGCCCUUAACUCUGGGAUAAGCCUGGGAAACUGGGUCUAAUACCGGAUAGGAGCGCCUACCGCAUGGAGGGUGUUGGAAAGAUUUAUCGGUUUUGGAUGGACUCGCGGCCUAUCAGCUUGUUGGUGAGGUAAUGGCUCACCAAGGCGACGACGGGUAGCCGGCCUGAGAGGGUGACCGGCCACACUGGGACUGAGACACGGCCCAGACUCCUACGGGAGGCGGCAGUGGGGAAUAUUGCACAAUGGGCGAAAGCCUGAUGCAGCGACGCCGCGUGAGGGAUGACGGCCUUCGGGUUGUAAACCUCUUUCAGUAGGGAAGAAGCGAAAGUGACGGUACCUGCAGAAGAAGCACCGGCUAACUACGUG